CGGACAAUAUUGGAGACUAAAGUUCUCUAUUUAUCCACAGAACAAAUACAGAGCAGUCAGUGGCAGUGCAAGCUUCCUAACAUUGCUGUUGGAGCGGGUCAAAAUUUGUUCAUCAGAAUGAUUUCCCAACAAAUAUGCCCUUUUUGUAAAACUGAAACUUUAAAUUUUUAAAAUUUCAGUUUUUCAGAAUU
RNAcentral lists this small RNA (191 nucleotides) under Chrysemys picta bellii (western painted turtle). RNAcentral's name for it is "TUC338 (ENSCPBG00000012413.1)". The record is from RNAcentral. Lineage: Eukaryota; Metazoa; Chordata; Testudines; Emydidae.